UAUAUAUUUUGCUAGAUUUAUACCUAAGUAAUCCUUUUAUGUGUGUGUGUGACUGGUAUUCUAUUUAAUUUUCAAAUUCUAGUUGUUCAUUGCUGAUUUUUAAGGAGGCAAUUGAAUUAAAAAUUUUUUUUAAUUUUAUUUUACCUAUUUGAAAGGCAGAGAGAUGGAGAGGCAGAGGUCUCCUGUUCUCUAUACAUUCCUCAAAUGCUUUCAACAGUCAAGGCCCGGCCAAGUCGAGCCGAACUCAAUCUGGAUCUUCCACGUGCGUGGCAGAAAGCCAACUACUCCAGCCAUCACCUUAGGUCUCCCAGGGAAAGGGACGUCGAGGCACAGAAGUUCAACAGGAAGGAUCACAGUUCCCCAGUAUUAUUGAUCCCGUGGGUUCGAGGACCACGUUUGGAGAGACAAGACUCGAUUGGACCCUGUAUCUCUCUGGCCUCACUUCCUUCCCGUCUCUUCCUGCUCCUCUCACUCCGCCAGCCCGAUUCCCCCUGCCCUUCCCCGGUUCUGGAGUGAGAGGCCCCCACCCCACCCCCGCCCUGUCCCUCGCCACCUGUCAGUGGUGGGACAGCUCAGGGCACUGAAGAAGCUUCCCCACAGACUGGCUGGCCAGCACGGGGCCAGACCUGUGAGUGGGGCCAGCCUCUCCCACCACCUCCUAGGCCCCCGGAUGCUGGGAGCAGCACUCGGUCUCCCGUGAAAUGGAGAAAUGAUCACAAGACCUGACCUCACAGGCUUGACUUGAGGAGAAGAUGAGUUUGUGCAGGUGAGGCCGUUGGCUCGCUGCCUGGCACAUAGUAAACACUCGUACCGAAGCCUCUGCCCUGUGUUCCUGGGGGCAGCGGCCCUCAAACCUGCGCAUACCCCUCAUUCCCCUGGAGCAUCUGUGUGAACGCAGACGGCUGCCCUCACUUAGGGCUUCCGAUUUAGUGGGUCUGUACAGGGGCGGGGGUGGGGCGGGGGGAGGUUGGCUGGGUUUCUGAAAAGGUGCCAGGCGCUGCUGCUGAGGAGCUGGGAGGCCGGCUCGCACCGCGCGGGUCUGGGGCUUCACCGCGGCCGCCGCAGAGUGGCUGCACUGAGGCCCCGGGCCCCUCCUGCGUGCCGGCUGCCUCCUGCCUGGCCCGGCGCCCCAGCCUUCGGAAGGCCCCCUCCACCCUGCUUUGUUUGCAUUCCUGGAGCCUGUGUCAGCCUGGGCAGCAGGCGUGUCUACUCGGGCCGGCCUGGCGUGGCCCCGAUGGCCGGCCCUUCACUCCAGGCCUCCUGGGCCGGGGCCGCAGUGGCCACGCAGGGCUCACUUAGCGGGCCAGUGACUCACUUCCUCCCGGAUUCCGGGAAAUGCCUCCCCGCUGCUGCUGCUUUCUUGUUUAAUGAGAAGUUCUCUGCAAGACUUCCAUGGCAACCUUGGGAUGGGGAGGCAGGAGGGGGAGGAGGCCAAAUCCAUUCCCCAGAGGGGCCCCAAGAAUUCCUGUCACACACACACACACACACACACACACACACACUCACUCACACUCCCAGCCCCUUGCCAGCCCCAGCCUGAGACCCCAAGCCACCAUGAUGGAGCUUUGGUCCAGGAGGGCCAGUCCCAGAAAUGCUUGCUUUUAUUAAAAAGGAAUGGCCUCACAAAGGCACGACUGUAGGAAAGGUUGUAAUUUGCCCAAAUAAAACUUAAUUUGAUCCAUGAAAUAGCUGUGGUUUAUUGUG
Oryctolagus cuniculus (rabbit) is the source of this 1704-nucleotide non-coding RNA. Lineage: Eukaryota; Metazoa; Chordata; Mammalia; Lagomorpha; Leporidae. The record is from RefSeq and is a predicted model, not a curated record.